This 636-nucleotide long non-coding RNA is filed under the name Pogona vitticeps (central bearded dragon). Its description in RNAcentral is "lncRNA (ENSPVIG00000010804.1)". The record is from RNAcentral. Lineage: Eukaryota; Metazoa; Chordata; Lepidosauria; Squamata; Agamidae.
AUGCAGAACCCUUCCUCAGUUUGAUGGUGUUUUGAGAAACAGAGUUCUGCAACAAAAAGAAUUACCCUUUCUACAGAAGAGCUUUUAUAUAGGCAGCCAUUUAAACACUGAAGUGACGACUUGUUCCACAAGUAUUCUUUGAACUGCCUUCAUCUAAACCACAGAACAAACCACAUUCUUCUUCAGAAAUGCUGAACAUUAUCAGAUGGGUCUACUGCCUUCUGAAGAAAGAGGAAAUGAAACAGCCUCCCGUCCAACAUUCUCUGAGAGAAGAAAAACGACAAGAAAAAUUCCCAGUGAUGGAUAUAAUCAUCCAUACCAUUAAACAAGAUCAAGAUGCCUGCAUCAGAAGUCUCCUUAAGCGAAGGUCCGCAUCUGCAGAGAAGAGUGCCAUUGUGGGCUUCAUCUGUACAGCCCCUCCACACUGAUGCCAAACAUGGGCCCAACAUGCACAUCAGUAUGCAGUGGUGGGUGGGGUGAGUAGGACAUGGUCUUCCAUGUGUUUCUUCAACUGUGUGAUAAUGUUUCUAUGGGUAUCUUCACUGCCUGCCUCUGUGCUGUUAAUGUAAAUUUAGCCCUAAACAUUUUUGUCAGGAUUAGGGCCCCACUCACUACUUUUCUAGUUUCUGUGAAACU